CCUACGGGUGGCAGCAGUGAGGAAUAUUGGUCAAUGGGCGAGAUCCUGAACCAGCCAAGCCGCGUGAGGGAAGACGGCCCUAUGGGUUGUAAACCUCUUUUAUCAGGGAACAAAACCCGGCACGAGUCCCGGUCUGCGUGUAUCUUAAGAAAAAGCAUCGGCUAACUCCGUGCCAGCAGCCGCGGUAAUACGGAGGAUGCGAGCGUUAUCCGGAUUUAUUGGGUUUAAAGGGUGCGUAGGGGGUCUGUUAAGUCAGCGGUAAAAUUGCGGGGCUCAACCCCGACGAGCCGUUGAAACUGGCAGUCUUGAGUUGGCGAGAAGUACGCGGAAUGCGCGGUGUAGCGGUGAAAUGCAUAGAUAUCGCGCAGAACUCCGAUUGCGAAGGCAGCGUACCGGCGCCAGACUGACGCUGAGGCACGAAAGCGUGGGGAUCGAACAGGAUUAGAUACCCGUGUAGUC
This 459-nucleotide ribosomal RNA is filed under the name uncultured bacterium. RNAcentral describes it as "partial 16S ribosomal RNA". It matches the Rfam family "Bacterial small subunit ribosomal RNA", at positions 338 to 795 of the family's 1533-position model. The record is from RNAcentral.